AAUUAAUGAGCUUGUAAUAAGCAUUUGUUUUGAAAACUUAUUAAAGAAUAAUUAUUCUAUUAAUUU
This 66-nucleotide transfer RNA is filed under the name Dercas lycorias (plain sulphur). RNAcentral describes it as "tRNA-Ser". RNAcentral also lists the same sequence under 1 other name. Lineage: Eukaryota; Metazoa; Arthropoda; Insecta; Lepidoptera; Pieridae. The record is from RNAcentral.